UCGCCUGGAUGUGUAAGGCGAACAUCGCUGCCCGGAAAGCAGAGGAUGCGGGUUCGAGUCCCGCCUGGCGCA
Molecule: non-coding RNA, 72 nt
Organism: Heligmosomoides polygyrus
Lineage: Eukaryota; Metazoa; Nematoda; Chromadorea; Rhabditida; Heligmosomidae
Source: Rfam